RNAcentral lists this ribosomal RNA (381 nucleotides) under uncultured Smithella sp. RNAcentral's name for it is "bacterial SSU rRNA". It matches the Rfam family "Bacterial small subunit ribosomal RNA", at positions 1001 to 1382 of the family's 1533-position model. Lineage: Bacteria; Pseudomonadati; Thermodesulfobacteriota; Syntrophia; Syntrophales; Smithellaceae. The record is from RNAcentral.
UGGAAACAGGGAGUGCCUUUCGGGGAACUCGGAGACAGGUGCUGCAUGGCUGUCGUCAGCUCGUGUCGUGAGAUGUUGGGUUAAGUCCCGCAACGAGCGCAACCCUUGUCUUUAAUUGCCAGCAUUCAGUUGGGCACUUUAAAGAGACUGCCGGUGUUAAGCCGGAGGAAGGUGGGGAUGACGUCAAGUCCUCAUGGCCUUUAUGCCCAGGGCUACACACGUGCUACAAUGGGUGGUACAAAGAGAUGCCAACUCGCGAGAGCGCGCCAAUCUCAGAAAGCCAUCCUCAGUUCGGAUUGGAGUCUGCAACUCGACUCCAUGAAGUUGGAAUCGCUAGUAAUCGCGGAUCAGCACGCCGCGGUGAAUACGUUCCCGGGCCUU